Long non-coding RNA from Lotus japonicus, 1199 nucleotides. RefSeq lists it as uncharacterized. The record is from RefSeq and is a predicted model, not a curated record. NCBI's taxonomy places the organism in Eukaryota, Viridiplantae, Streptophyta, Magnoliopsida, Fabales, Fabaceae. The transcript has 2 exons.
CCAAUUGAAUCCUGUUAUUUGUAUCACAAACAAUUCAAAAGGAAUCUUUCUCUUCUUCCUAACUUUACUUUUUCCUCAUCUUUUUUUAUAUGAAGACCAAACAGAGCAUAAAUUCCCCAUGAGAACUUUACCAAGAAGGCUUUUACCAAUUUCAUAAGAUCUUAAAUAUCUCUCCAUUAGCACGAAUAACUCACCUCCACGUAUUCAAUUACUUUUAAUAUGCUUGUGCCAACUUGUUUGGAAGCUUUAUCGUGGGGAUAGAGAAUCAAGUAGAAAACCCAAUGAAACAGUGUAUGGUUCACAAAUGAACUAGGUAGUUUGUGCUGAAAUAAAAAGUUAUGAGAAGCUAUUCAUUCUUUUGGGAUGAACAUUGCAAGUGCCCUCAAAAAGAUGACUCUUUGAUCUGUCAGAACCAUUCAUUUACUAAGUGGAAAACUUUGGAAGAUACUUGUUUUACUGGAAUUUUUCCCUUAACUGCAUGAUAGCCAAGAAAAUGGAGGGAAUGAAACCAAGAUAAAAAGGCAAUGUAUAUGUACACCAAAAAGUGAGAACUAAAUGAUUUUGAGAUGGAUAUGGACAGGGGCGGACCCACAGCAAGGUGAGGGGGUUCAGAUGAACCCCCUGAAAAAGAAAAAAAUUUUACUUAACCCCUUGUAUAGUUUUUUUUUUGAACCCCCUGAAAAUUUUAAUUUGCACCCAAGACCCCACUUACUUCUCUCUCUCACUCUAUCACUCAGCCUCACCCUCUUUCUCUCGCACUCUCAUCACUAAUCGCUCCCUAGGUCUGGCCGUCAAACACACGCACGGCGCACCACCGACCACCACGCCACGCCACCACCAUCCACCAGUCUACCGGCUCCUCUGCCUUUCUAUCUCCGUAUCUCUGCAACUCUGCUUCUCCUUUAUCUUUGAGGGUUACUGGGUAAGGCUGCAACUUCACUACAAGGGUGGCCUGAGAGUGUUUUUAGGAGCACUGAUCCAAAGGGUAUCAGCAAUAGCAAAUCUCCACAAUGCAUUGCAUUAACAUGCUUGUACUAUUGCAUUCUAUAGUCUCACCUGAUGUAGAGUGAAUUGUAUUGCUUUGUCCAUGGGUUGGCACCCCUUGUGCCAUUUUGGUUGCAUUUAGUUUAGCUGUUUUUGGAGAUGUACUGAUCCUCUCUUUUGAGAAGAGGUUUUGUAUAAUCAAGAUGUUUGAUUUU